UACGUAGGGGGCUAGCGUUGUCCGGAUUUAUUGGGCGUAAGGAGCGUAUAGGCGGCCAGGUAGGUCUGGUGUGAAAACUCGAGGCUUAACCUCGAGAUGUCAUCGGAAACCAUCUGGCUAGAGUCCGGAAGAGGAGAGUGGAAUUCCUGGUGUAGCGGUGAAAUGCGCAGAUAUCAGGAAGAACACCAAUGGCGAAAGCAGCUCUCUGGGACGGUACUGACGCUGAGACGCGAAAGCGUGGGGAGCGAACAGG
This 253-nucleotide ribosomal RNA is filed under the name uncultured bacterium. RNAcentral's name for it is "partial 16S ribosomal RNA". It matches the Rfam family "Bacterial small subunit ribosomal RNA", at positions 524 to 776 of the family's 1533-position model. The record is from RNAcentral.